GAUGAACGCUAGCGGCAGGCUUAAUACAUGCAAGUCGAGGGGCAGCACGGGUAGCAAUACCUGGUGGCGACCGGCAAACGGGUGCGGAACACGUACGCAACCUUCCCAUAACUGGUGAAUAGCCUUCCGAAAGGGAGAUUAAUACACCGUAACAUAACGAAAAGGCAUCUUUUUGUUAUUAUAGGCUUCGGCCGGUUUUGGAUGGGCGUGCGCCUGAUUAGGUAGUUGGCGGGGUAACGGCCCACCAAGCCUGCGAUCAGUAACUGGUGUGAGAGCACGACCAGUCACACGGGCACUGAGACACGGGCCCGACUCCUACGGGAGGCAGCAGUAAGGAAUAUUGGUCAAUGGACGAAAGUCUGAACCAGCCAUGCCGCGUGAAGGAUUAAGGCCCUCUGGGUUGUAAACUUCUUUAUCUGGGACGAAAAAGGGCUUUCUAGCUCACUUGACGGUACCAGAGGAAUAAGCACCGGCUAACUCCGUG
This 484-nucleotide ribosomal RNA is filed under the name uncultured bacterium. RNAcentral's name for it is "bacterial SSU rRNA". It matches the Rfam family "Bacterial small subunit ribosomal RNA", at positions 28 to 507 of the family's 1533-position model. The record is from RNAcentral.